UACGGAGGGUGCAAACGUUGCUCGGAAUCAUUGGGCGUAAAGCGCACGUAGGCGGCUCGAUAAGUCGGAUGUGAAAGCCCUGGGCUCAACCCAGGAAGUGCAUUCGAAACUGCCGAGCUUGAAUAUGGAAGAGGGUCGCGGAAUUCCCGGUGUAGAGGUGAAAUUCGUAGAUAUCGGGAGGAACACCAGUGGCGAAGGCGGCGACCUGGGCCAAUAUUGACGCUGAGGUGCGAAAGCGUGGGGAGCAAACAGG
This 253-nucleotide ribosomal RNA is filed under the name uncultured bacterium. Its description in RNAcentral is "partial 16S ribosomal RNA". It matches the Rfam family "Bacterial small subunit ribosomal RNA", at positions 524 to 776 of the family's 1533-position model. The record is from RNAcentral.